CGCAUGCUCUGUCUGCUCCGGGGCGUGGAGCGGGCGCCGGUGAGGUGGCCUUUUGGGCUCCAGAGCUCUUUGCUUUCUGCUCUGAGGUUCUUCUGACUUUGCAGAGACGCCAGAAGUAGCUUUCUCAGCUCAUGCCAUGCACAACUUCGAAGCCUUGAGAGAACUAGGAGUGACCAUUCUGCCCUGCAUGUUCAGCAAGGAAAUUGCCCUCAAGAAGGGAUUGCCUACCUGAUGCUACUGAGUCUCCUCAUACUCCUGCCCAAGGACAAAGAUCAGGUCUCACGAUUCUGCCU
Tupaia belangeri chinensis (Chinese tree shrew) is the source of this 293-nucleotide long non-coding RNA. RefSeq lists it as uncharacterized. NCBI's taxonomy places the organism in Eukaryota, Metazoa, Chordata, Mammalia, Scandentia, Tupaiidae. The record is from RefSeq and is a predicted model, not a curated record. The transcript has 3 exons.